ACAGCAGCAGCCGCGGGAAUACGAAGGGUGCAAGCGUUAAUCGGAAUUACUGGGCGUAAAGCGUGCGUAGGCGGUUUGUUAAGUCUGUUGUGAAAUCCCCGGGCUCAACCUGGGAAUGGCAAUGGAUACUGGCAAGCUAGAGUGUGUCAGAGGAUGGUGGAAUUCCCGGUGUAGCGGUGAAAUGCGUAGAGAUCGGGAGGAACAUCAGCGGCGAAGGCGGCCAUCUGGGACAACACUGACGCUGAGGCACGAAAGCGUGGGGAGCAAACAGGAUUAGAUACCCGCGUAGUCCCUGUCUCUUAUAA
Molecule: ribosomal RNA, 305 nt
Filed under: uncultured bacterium
Lineage: Bacteria
Description: partial 16S ribosomal RNA
Rfam family: Bacterial small subunit ribosomal RNA
Source: RNAcentral